Molecule: ribosomal RNA, 253 nt
Filed under: uncultured bacterium
Lineage: Bacteria
Also listed under: 1 other name
Description: partial 16S ribosomal RNA
Rfam family: Bacterial small subunit ribosomal RNA
Source: RNAcentral
UACGAAGGGGGCUAGCGUUGCUCGGAAUGACUGGGCGUAAAGGGCGCGUAGGCGGCUUACAUAGUUAGGCGUGAAAUUCCUGGGCUCAACCUGGGGACUGCGUCUAAUACAUGUAGGCUUGAGUGUGAAAGAGGGUCGUGGAAUUUCCAGUGUAGAGGUGAAAUUCGUAGAUAUUGGAAAGAACACCGGUGGCGAAGGCGGCGACCUGGUUCAUUACUGACGCUGAGGCGCGAAAGCGUGGGGAGCAAACAGG